Molecule: ribosomal RNA, 253 nt
Filed under: uncultured bacterium
Lineage: Bacteria
Description: partial 16S ribosomal RNA
Rfam family: Bacterial small subunit ribosomal RNA
Source: RNAcentral
UACGUAGGGUCCGAGCGUUGUCCGGAAUUCCUGGGCGUAAAGCGCGCGCAGGCGGCCCGCGAGGUGUCACGUGAAAGCCCCGGGCUCAACCCGGGAGGGUCGUGGCAAACCGGCGGGCUUGAGGCCGGUAGAGGUGGGUGGAACUCCUGGUGGAGUGGUGAAAUGCGUAGAGAUCAGGAAGAACACCCGUGGCGAAGGCGGCCCACUGGGCCGGUACUGACGCUGAGGCGCGAAGGCGUGGGGAGCAAACAGG